This 915-nucleotide ribosomal RNA is filed under the name uncultured archaeon. RNAcentral describes it as "bacterial SSU rRNA". It matches the Rfam family "Archaeal small subunit ribosomal RNA", at positions 1 to 922 of the family's 1478-position model. The record is from RNAcentral.
UUCCGGUUGAUCCCGCCGGACCUGACUGCUAUCGGAUUAAUACUAAGCCAUGCGAGUUUUUGUAGUAAUACAAGGCAUACGGCUCAGUAACACGUAGUCAACCUACCCUAUGGACGAGGAUAAUCUCGGGAAACUGAGCAUAAUACUCGAUAGAUCAUAAUGCCUGGAAUGGUUUAUGGUUGAAAUGAUUCGUUCGCCAUAGGAUGGGACUGCGGCCUAUCAGCUUGUUGGUGAGGUAAUGGCCCACCAAGGCGAUUACAGGUACGGGCUCUGAGAGGAGAAGCCCGGAGAUGGGUACUGAGACACGGGCCCAGGCCCUAUGGGGCGCAGCAGGCGAGAAAACUUUGCAAUGUGCGAAAGCACGACAAGGUUAGUCCGAGUGAUUUCUGCUAAAGAGAUCUUUUGCAAGUCAUAAAACCACUAGUGAAUAAGGGGUGGGCAAGUUCUGGUGUCAGCCGCCGCGGUAAAACCAGCACCUCAAGUGGUCAGGAGGAUUAUUGGGCCUAAAGCAUCCGUAGCCGGCUCUGUGAGUUUUCGGUUAAAUCCAUGCGCUCAACGCAUGGGCUGUCGGAAAUACUGCAGAGCUAGGGAGUGGGAGAGGUAGACGGUACUCGGUAGGAAGGGGUAAAAUCCUUUGAUCUAUCGAUGACCACCUGUGGCGAAGGCGGUCUACCAGAACACGUUCGACGGUGAGGGAUGAAAGCUGGGGGAGCAAACCGGAUUAGAUACCCGGGUAGUCCCAGCUGUAAACGAUGCAGACUCGAUGAUGCAUUGGCAUAUAGCCAGUGCAGUGUCGCAGGGAAGCCGUUAAGUCUGCCGCCUGGGAAGUACGUACGCAAGUAUGAAACUUAAAGGAAUUGGCGGGGGAGCACCACAAGGGGUGAAGCCUGCGGUUCAAUUGGAGUCAACGCCGGG